Molecule: non-coding RNA, 30 nt
Filed under: Rattus norvegicus (Norway rat)
Lineage: Eukaryota; Metazoa; Chordata; Mammalia; Rodentia; Muridae
Source: RNAcentral
UAGGUGAACAAGCUGUGCUAUAGAUGUGUC